RNAcentral lists this ribosomal RNA (1554 nucleotides) under Klebsiella pneumoniae. Its description in RNAcentral is "bacterial SSU rRNA". It matches the Rfam family "Bacterial small subunit ribosomal RNA". The record is from RNAcentral. Lineage: Bacteria; Pseudomonadati; Pseudomonadota; Gammaproteobacteria; Enterobacterales; Enterobacteriaceae.
ACUUAAAUUGAAGAGUUUGAUCAUGGCUCAGAUUGAACGCUGGCGGCAGGCCUAACACAUGCAAGUCGAGCGGUAGCACAGAGAGCUUGCUCACGGGUGACGAGCGGCGGACGGGUGAGUAAUGUCUGGGAAACUGCCUGAUGGAGGGGGAUAACUACUGGAAACGGUAGCUAAUACCGCAUAAUGUCGCAAGACCAAAGUGGGGGACCUUCGGGCCUCAUGCCAUCAGAUGUGCCCAGAUGGGAUUAGCUAGUAGGUGGGGUAACGGCUCACCUAGGCGACGAUCCCUAGCUGGUCUGAGAGGAUGACCAGCCACACUGGAACUGAGACACGGUCCAGACUCCUACGGGAGGCAGCAGUGGGGAAUAUUGCACAAUGGGCGCAAGCCUGAUGCAGCCAUGCCGCGUGUGUGAAGAAGGCCUUCGGGUUGUAAAGCACUUUCAGCGGGGAGGAAGGCGUUAAGGUUAAUAACCUUGGCGAUUGACGUUACCCGCAGAAGAAGCACCGGCUAACUCCGUGCCAGCAGCCGCGGUAAUACGGAGGGUGCAAGCGUUAAUCGGAAUUACUGGGCGUAAAGCGCACGCAGGCGGUCUGUCAAGUCGGAUGUGAAAUCCCCGGGCUCAACCUGGGAACUGCAUUCGAAACUGGCAGGCUAGAGUCUUGUAGAGGGGGGUAGAAUUCCAGGUGUAGCGGUGAAAUGCGUAGAGAUCUGGAGGAAUACCGGUGGCGAAGGCGGCCCCCUGGACAAAGACUGACGCUCAGGUGCGAAAGCGUGGGGAGCAAACAGGAUUAGAUACCCUGGUAGUCCACGCCGUAAACGAUGUCGAUUUGGAGGUUGUGCCCUUGAGGCGUGGCUUCCGGAGCUAACGCGUUAAAUCGACCGCCUGGGGAGUACGGCCGCAAGGUUAAAACUCAAAUGAAUUGACGGGGGCCCGCACAAGCGGUGGAGCAUGUGGUUUAAUUCGAUGCAACGCGAAGAACCUUACCUGGUCUUGACAUCCACAGAACUUUCCAGAGAUGGAUUGGUGCCUUCGGGAACUGUGAGACAGGUGCUGCAUGGCUGUCGUCAGCUCGUGUUGUGAAAUGUUGGGUUAAGUCCCGCAACGAGCGCAACCCUUAUCCUUUGUUGCCAGCGGUUAGGCCGGGAACUCAAAGGAGACUGCCAGUGAUAAACUGGAGGAAGGUGGGGAUGACGUCAAGUCAUCAUGGCCCUUACGACCAGGGCUACACACGUGCUACAAUGGCAUAUACAAAGAGAAGCGACCUCGCGAGAGCAAGCGGACCUCAUAAAGUAUGUCGUAGUCCGGAUUGGAGUCUGCAACUCGACUCCAUGAAGUCGGAAUCGCUAGUAAUCGUAGAUCAGAAUGCUACGGUGAAUACGUUCCCGGGCCUUGUACACACCGCCCGUCACACCAUGGGAGUGGGUUGCAAAAGAAGUAGGUAGCUUAACCUUCGGGAGGGCGCUUACCACUUUGUGAUUCAUGACUGGGGUGAAGUCGUAACAAGGUAACCGUAGGGGAACCUGCGGUUGGAUCACCUCCUUACCUUAAAGAA